This 64-nucleotide transfer RNA is filed under the name Rugitermes sp. A TB-2014. Its description in RNAcentral is "tRNA-Glu". It matches the Rfam family "tRNA". Rfam says of the family: Transfer RNA (tRNA) molecules are approximately 80 nucleotides in length. Their secondary structure includes four short double-helical elements and three loops (D, anti-codon, and T loops). RNAcentral also lists the same sequence under 1 other name. Lineage: Eukaryota; Metazoa; Arthropoda; Insecta; Blattodea; Kalotermitidae. The record is from RNAcentral.
AUUUAUGUAGUUUAAUGAAAACAUUACAUUUUCACUGUAAAAAUAAAGUGAACUUUCUUAAAUA